This 82-nucleotide transfer RNA is filed under the name Haptophyceae sp. NIES-3900. Its description in RNAcentral is "tRNA-Leu". It matches the Rfam family "tRNA". From Rfam's summary of the family: Transfer RNA (tRNA) molecules are approximately 80 nucleotides in length. Their secondary structure includes four short double-helical elements and three loops (D, anti-codon, and T loops). Further hydrogen bonds mediate the characteristic L-shaped molecular structure. tRNAs have two regions of fundamental functional importance: the anti-codon, which is responsible for specific mRNA codon recognition, and the 3' end, to which the tRNAs corresponding amino acid is attached (by aminoacyl-tRNA synthetases). tRNAs cope with the degeneracy of the genetic code in two manners: having more than one tRNA (with a specific anti-codon) for a particular amino acid; and 'wobble' base-pairing, i.e. permitting non-standard base-pairing at the 3rd anti-codon position. Lineage: Eukaryota; Haptophyta. The record is from RNAcentral.
UGGGAUACGGUGGAAUUGGUAGACACGUUAGAUUUAGGCUCUAAUCUGUUUUCAGGUGUCGGUUCGAGUCCGGCUUUCCUUA